AGGUGGUACACCCUUUCCUCUCUGCCCCAUAGGGUGUAGCUCUAACUACCCUCUAGGGAAGAGAAGGUUGGGUGAACAGCCU
Ailuropoda melanoleuca (giant panda) is the source of this 82-nucleotide microRNA precursor. Lineage: Eukaryota; Metazoa; Chordata; Mammalia; Carnivora; Ursidae. The record is from Ensembl.